Molecule: long non-coding RNA, 3332 nt
Organism: Oncorhynchus tshawytscha (Chinook salmon)
Lineage: Eukaryota; Metazoa; Chordata; Actinopteri; Salmoniformes; Salmonidae
Source: Ensembl
CUAAAAUGAAAAUAAUAAUACAUUUUUAUGUGAAUUUGACAAAAGCGGAAUCCUUUCUAGCCAUGACCCCUGGGAAGAUGACUUGUAAAAAAUGGAGGAUGACCAAUUGCUCUUUUAUGGUGGUUGUGAUACAUUGGAUGGCAGUUGAAACAUGUUUCUAAAGUUGGUUCCCAUCUCAGCUCUACAAUUUCAAAAUAAUUCAGUUUUGAACACACAGGAGAGUUUAUAUUGUUAUUUUCCUGAACUUGGAAUGUCCAUUAACUUCUGCAUCCUGAAGGAUUGCCAAAAACAGGCCACCAAUCCAACCGACUAAUCCAGGCAGAAUUAAAGACGCCACAUGGGUUUUCAUGAUUAUUAAUCCCUGUUUUGGGCCUUUGGAUUUACAAAUAGAUUUGACCUGUGGUUAAGAUUACCAGGCAGUAGUCCCUCUGAUUUGGCAGAUUUGGGGAAAUGCCAUCUGUUCCCUCUAUAGUGCUCGCUCUUAUUUAAUACAACCUCUAUAAUAGUAUAUUAUAGGUGGCAGGGGUGCUUCCUUAGCUACUGUAGUAUCAGCACAGCUCAGGGUUUGUUGUAGGAAGAUAUGACGUGGGUAGUAUUGCAGGGCCAUCCUACUGUAAGUUAUCAGCGGAAGUGGAGUCAUUCAAACCAAACCCGCUGAAUUAUGUAACCAUUGAAUUCUGUGCAUAUUUGAGAGGCAACCGUUCCAUUGCUGUUUGAGUUUACUUCAAGGCUAGAUGUUGUAGAUCCAUAGUUAAAAUCAAAACAUUAGUGUUUCAGCUCCAUUUAUUGAUUUCCCUCUGUUUUGAAUAGACUAAACAAAUCACCACCUCCAAAUUCAUCCCUGUCAUGUUCCCUAUAUAGUACCUGUUGGGUUACUAUAUAUUUGACUGAGGGUUUAAACAGGUUUCAUGUUAGCCCUCUCCUGACCCUUCACGGGGUCAUGUUCAAUUGAGUAGCUUAUAGAUUACUGUGUCCCACGCUUGCCAUCUUCCUGGUGUUGCUUCUGGGAGUGUGCAGGGCUCACAAUGUUGUAGACAGAAAUGUAGGCUAAUGUAUAGAACUGGCAAAAUUCCCACAAUUAUGUCUACUCCUCUCCUACACACACAUUCUGUAAUGUUAUUUGCACCGCACCCUCCUGAACAGGCCCCAGGCAUCUACCUGGCUAGGUGUGUCCCGUCCAUUAUCAGGGUUGGGCCUAUAGCUCCACCUCUGUAUGUGCUACUCUCUGAAGGGAGAGAGCCUGUUUUCCCCAGUCGGUCUGGUAUUGGGCUGGGUGCUGUGCCUGAGAGGGAGUCAGUCUGGUAUUUUGGCUGAGUGCCUUGCCUGAGAGGGACUCCCAUUGUCCCCUGUCCUGUCUCCACUGGUCCCCGUCAGCCCACAGCUGCUGAACUACAGAAAGAGAAGAAGAGUUCCAUUCAUUACCUAACCCUGCUGCCUGCCUUCCGAAGCGCUUGCCGUCAACAGGCCGCAGCCAUAAUGCAAGGGAAGGAGGUUGGCCAAGUCUACUCUACAGAACAGAACAGAGCAGGGCUGUAGUAUUGUGUGCUAGGGAAAUUAUAAUGUGUAACUGUUCUCAUUACUCGCCUGUCUGCCUGUCUGCCUGUCUGCCUGCCUGGGCUCUGGGACUCUCCAGAGUAGCUACUGCUGCCUAGGUUUUCUUGGAGUGAAGCCAAGUAGAUUGGGUCUAAUGUGGGAUUGGGCUGUGGAGGCACAGAGAGAGAGUCUGAUCGGAGAAUGACAAUGGAUUUCUCUCGCCUACACACAUACACUCCUCCACAGUGUGCUCCAGAGAACACAGGAUAUACCUACUCCCUCAGGUGAGAAUGCUGGCUGCGCUACUGAUCGUUACUGACUGGCAUCUACUGACCAUUUCAUCAGGUUCAUUUCAUGUCCAUUCUAGACAAUUCAGAGUGUGUGUAAUGAACAAUUGCAGGAGUAUUUACGUGAAUUGAAAUGGUAUAGUACAUAUCCUGUUCCUCUGUAGAACAGGCUAGAGGUUUCAUACUGUGUCUUAUCCAAGGUUCAGGGACCUAUCUGUUCCUCUGUAGAACAGGCUAGAGGUUUCAUACUGUGUCUUAUCCAAGGUUCAGGGACCUAUCUGUUCCUCUGUAGAACAGGCUAGAGGUUUCAUACUGUGUCUUAUCCAAGGUUCAGGGACCUAUCUGUUCCUCUGUAGAACAGGCUAGAGGUUUCAUACUGUGUCUUAUCCAAGGUUCAGGGACCUAUCUGUUCCUCUGUAGAACAGGCUAGAGGUUUCAUACUGUGUCUUAUCCAAGGUUCAGGGACCUAUCUGUUGCUCUUCCCGUAUUCAGAUGGCCUCCAGAUGUGUGGUGAGGGUUAUCAUCAAUCUUUCCUUCCUACACUAGUUAGCUAUUCCUCUGUGACUCAGGUAAAAAUAGUAUUUGUUAUUGAAUCCCGUCUCCCUAAUGUGGUUAUGUCCACUGACUACAGUCAGAGCCUCUGUCAGAUCAGUCAAGUCAUUACCACAGCUGUGGAGAAUGAAAGGGUUCUGCUGCCUCAAUCCUGAGGUUGUUUCUCAUUCACCUCCUGUUUUUCAGUGUUUGACAUCUCUUUCCAAGAGUAAAGCACCAUUAGGAGUCCUGAAUGAGUUUGUGUUGCAUUCAGAAAUCUUACUGACUUGAUUGUCUUUGCUCUCACUUGAGUAAAAAGCUCUUUUGAAGUACAUUUGAGAAUACAUUUUACAACAGUUGGAGUGAGGAGAGAAUGUUGAAAUUGUAAAGAUGUAUUUUAAUGGCUUCUAUUACUAGCUAAAUAUUUUCAGUCUAGAUACAAAUAUUCAUCCUUGACAGUUGAUACAUUGAAGAUCUUGGUGCAGUCUUGCUGAUGAGUUCCAGAGUUGCUCACACGAGCAACCGCUGUGGUUGUGGUUUCGAUGAUUCAGCCCGAUGAUUCUGUCAGUGUGUGCGCUUGUGGUUCAGCAUUUCUGUGUGUAAGGCUGUGUGUUAUGAGGGAACAACACAAUGAAAAUGGUAGCAUAGCGCCUUUGUAGUUAUCUUAGUUUGGACUGACUAUCCCUUGGCUUGGUGUUUGCUUCCUGUGUUUCCUCUCAUGGUAUGUCUCAUGUCAGUCACACACUGUUCUCUCCCUCUGAAUUUUCAAGGAAGAAACUUUUCAUGUUGUGCAGUUUAUUUUUUAUGGAUUCAAAAAAAGUGGCUUAGGUGGUGGGUGUGGCAAUGGAUGCGGGCGGCAAAGGUCGCAGUUAGACUUUGGCUCUGCUGAAUUUUAGGGAACAUUUGAAAGGCUCCUCAUCUAAGUGGUGUAGCAAUUUUUUGUGCAUUUUCAAGCCAAUUUCCUGCAAUUCUUAAAUUCUC